Mesocricetus auratus (golden hamster) is the source of this 888-nucleotide long non-coding RNA. RefSeq lists it as uncharacterized. NCBI's taxonomy places the organism in Eukaryota, Metazoa, Chordata, Mammalia, Rodentia, Cricetidae. The record is from RefSeq and is a predicted model, not a curated record. The transcript is spliced from 3 exons.
CUAUGGUUGGCUUUAAUGUCAACUUGCCACUACUGAGAAUCACCUGAGUAGGGAACCUCAUAAGUAGCGUCCCGAUUGCUUCAAUUGAUGUGGGAUGACCUUCUGGUAGCAGAUGAAAUUUAAGAAGAGCAUGGGAGAAAGAAGGCCAUCUUGUCUCGUACUCUUUGGCCUACCUUGUUGCCUUUGACCUGAUGAUGAGCCUUGCUGCUGCUGCUGCUGACUCCUUAGUUGAUUGCCACUGGAGACCAUGUUGAGGUCCGUGGCAUGUGCUGACACAGAAGACAGUGUGAAUGUUCAUGAUUUGUGUUCUUGCCAGAAACCAUGUGGAAGUUCAUGAUUCAUGCUCCUGCUGACACUAAAGGGCAAGGAAGCUACUUUUGUCAUGAUAUUGAUGAUCUUGGACUCACAGUUACGAAAGAGGGCCAUACAUAGACAGUUCUCUGACAAUGGCCCCCACCCCAUCUCUCUCCAAAACAUAACAACCUGGACAAAAAGUCACUGAAGGAAGAACAUUCUUUACAUUUGUGAUAAGGAUGCUGGCAUAUAGCUUUCCACAACUGAAGUUUCUGGGCAAGAAUUGAAUCAUGACCUGGAUAUCCUACGAUGGACAGAGUAUUUUGCUGUUCCCAUAGAAGUUAAAUUAUCAUUCAUCAUGGUUACUCCAAAUUAACAUCCUACUGUGAGCUUUAUGAAAACAAAUGGACUUUUCAGGCCUAUUUUAACUUAUUAGUUUACAAAGUGAUGAAAUAUAGCAUCUAUUGUUGAGUUCUCUUAUGAAAAUUAAAGACAUACUUAUAAAACCUAGCCCUGGAUUUGAAUAGUGAGCAUCAUCUCUGAGUGCAGUUUUUAUCUAACACACUUAUAGAAGAUUUGUAUGCAGUCACUGGG